Molecule: long non-coding RNA, 347 nt
Organism: Phascolarctos cinereus (koala)
Lineage: Eukaryota; Metazoa; Chordata; Mammalia; Diprotodontia; Phascolarctidae
Source: RefSeq, a predicted model, not a curated record
CCCCUCUCACCCUUAGGAGUCAGAGAGACUCAGACAAGGGGCACAGAGUGAUUGCCAAGACCUUAAGGAGGCACAUAAGUAUCGACUUGGAAGCAGAGGCAAUAUCACCUUUUACUCCUCACUAAUCUCCAUCUUGAAAUCCCAGAAAAGGAGGGAGGAGAAUUCCCUGACACAGUCUGAGAUGGGAUUUUUUCUGGUACUAAAGCCUUCAAUGGAGCGAUGUCACCCCAAUGUGGAUGCAGGUUUGGAGGACUGCAGCACCCAGUUCCCAUCUCUAGCCCUCCUGAGGCCUUGGCUGUCUGUCCAGAAUAUUCUUUAAUAAAUUUCAUUUGGACAUGUAGAUCUUA